Long non-coding RNA from Trichomycterus rosablanca, 468 nucleotides. RefSeq lists it as uncharacterized. NCBI's taxonomy places the organism in Eukaryota, Metazoa, Chordata, Actinopteri, Siluriformes, Trichomycteridae. The record is from RefSeq and is a predicted model, not a curated record. The transcript is spliced from 4 exons.
GGCAUGCAUCUUACUGUGGAUGAAUCUCAAAUAGCAGUCUACUGCGAGUGUGCACUAGCAGAAACAGCAACAGGCUCUGUGAGACAGCCAAGCACAGUCAUCACAUCACCGAGAAUGCAGCACUGCCUUACACAAAUAUUGUGGCACACAAUACACAAAACAUAGAGCAGGAAGAAUGGCUACUCUAAACUGACCACUGGUGUAAGUAAAUGUGUGGUUCCUUGUGAUGGAUUGGUGGUCUGAUCAGGAUGAUGCAGUUACUACAGAUGGGUGAAUUCACUCUAACAGGUUCCCUUGCCACAUGCACCACCACAGCGCUGACUGAGGAGAGCCACAGACUCCCCACCACAGACAUCACACACCCUCACUGACAGGCACACUGUUCACUUUAAACAUUAGACCGACAGAAAAAAACAACUUACUGACUUUGUGGCAUGCUUGUUGGCAACAAACUGAUGAUCUGGGAAU